GGUUGUGCCCUUGAGGCGUGGCUUCCGGAGCUAACGCGUUAAGUAGACCGCCUGGGGAGUACGGCCGCAAGGUUAAAACUCAAAUGAAUUGACGGGGGCCCGCACAAGCGGUGGAGCAUGUGGUUUAAUUCGAUGCAACGCGAAGAACCUUACCUGGUCUUGACAUCCACAGAAGAAUCCAGAGAUGGAUUUGUGCCUUCGGGAACUGUGAGACAGGUGCUGCAUGGCUGUCGUCAGCUCGUGUUGUGAAAUGUUGGGUUAAGUCCCGCAACGAGCGCAACCCUUAUCCUUUGUUGCCAGCGGUCCGGCCGGGAACUCAAAGGAGACUGCCAGUGAUAAACUGGAGGAAGGUGGGGAUGACGUCAAGUCAUCAUGGCCCUUACGACCAGGGCUACACACGUGCUACAAUGGCGCAUACAAAGAGAAGCGACCUCGCGAGAGCAAGCGGACCUCAUAAAGUGCGUCGUAGUCCGGAUUGGAGUCUGCAACUCGACUCCAUGAAGUCGGAAUCGCUAGUAAUCGUGGAUCAGAAUGCCACGGUGAAUACGUUCCCGGGCCUUGUACACACCGCCCGUCACACCAUGGGAGUGGGUUGCAAAAGAAGUAGGUAGCUUAACCUUCGGGAGGGCGCUUACCACUUUGUGAUUCAUGACUGGGGUGAAGUCGUAACAAGGUAACCGUAGGGGAACCUGC
This 693-nucleotide ribosomal RNA is filed under the name Salmonella enterica subsp. enterica serovar Infantis. Its description in RNAcentral is "bacterial SSU rRNA". It matches the Rfam family "Bacterial small subunit ribosomal RNA", at positions 822 to 1515 of the family's 1533-position model. The record is from RNAcentral. RNAcentral also lists the same sequence under 1 other name. Lineage: Bacteria; Pseudomonadati; Pseudomonadota; Gammaproteobacteria; Enterobacterales; Enterobacteriaceae.